Long non-coding RNA from Parus major (Great Tit), 1158 nucleotides. RefSeq lists it as uncharacterized. The transcript is spliced from 4 exons. The record is from RefSeq and is a predicted model, not a curated record. NCBI's taxonomy places the organism in Eukaryota, Metazoa, Chordata, Aves, Passeriformes, Paridae.
UGCUUUUUUAACAGUGCAGGGUGAAGGAAAGUGUGAUGAAGGUGAAUUGUGUAACUUAGCUGGAAUCCUGGCUGAAGAACGGCAUGAUGCAGCACAAACAAGACAAAUAGUCUUUCUGCGCAGUGGCCCCUCUGUGCCUCUGACAGGAUUUACCACUAAAGGAAUAUUGAGGAGCAUCAGCCACAGCCAUGGUUCCCAGGGAGCUGUUUAUACAGGUACACAAGACUUAGGACCAAGAAAAAGAAGGACAAAGAAACAAAGGGAUUUGUUUGAAGGCAAGCUGCAAGCCUUAUCUUCCUCACUCCUGCUUCAGUACUCUAUUAACAAGUAGGUUUUAUUCCCUCCUCCCCCUACAAAAACACUCUGGAUUUUGUAAAGAAUGAGAUAUGAAUGCACAUAUCUCACUUAUAAAUUUACUAAUAUAGAUUACAUUUCUGAAACAAUUUUGCCCUCUAUUCAGCAUUUGGGGGGAAACAGAGGUACAUUCAUUCUGUGAGAACCUCUUGAAAGGUCCAUUCACAGCCAUUCAUGGGAAGUGCUGGGCAUGUGUGAGAGAAAAAGCACUUUAAUUGAAUGCAUGAGGAUCUAACUGACUGCCAGAUUGUGACUGGCCUCUGUGCAGGCCCAAAGUUGCACAUGUCCUGCUGGGAGCAAGAAACUGCUGUAGAGACAAGCCAUCCUCUUACUCUGAGCUGCCUAGCACACCAGGCACUGUGGAAUGAGGACAAUCUGUCAAGCUGGCCAUGGGAACUUAAAACAAGGCUUCUUGCAAUAAAGAUGAUUCAUUUGGCUGAAGGACCUCCUAAAUAUGGCUUCUGUCUGUGUACAGAGCUGUGAGUUGUAGGUACUUUGACUAGAGCUGAAUGCUUUCAGGUUGGUGUAGGAAAUGCCAGGUGUUAAAUUUGGUCUGGGGUACAAAACUACUGUCAUGUGGACUCCAGUUUCACUCUACCUUUGCUUACUUGUUGUAUAAUAUGUUUCAUUUUCUGUCCUUCCAUUAUUAAAAGCUGAUGUACUUAUGUUUUCCUUGAAAAAUACCCUGAUGGAUACUGACUAAUAAUACAGUGCAUCCAUAAAGAAGAUGAAGAGGCUGGGCAAAGGCAGCAGGGUCUUUGGGGAUGCACUUAACGCUGUUCAUUAAAAAUAUGUGAAUCUGCU